Long non-coding RNA from Oncorhynchus keta (chum salmon), 590 nucleotides. RefSeq lists it as uncharacterized. The record is from RefSeq and is a predicted model, not a curated record. The transcript is spliced from 3 exons. Lineage: Eukaryota; Metazoa; Chordata; Actinopteri; Salmoniformes; Salmonidae.
AAGCAAACGCUCCGCUUACGAGGAGUUCCGCUCAGCUUAGGUGGGAUAGCCAGAGGGUACAUCCUGGGAGUACCAGCUUAGGUGGGAUAGCCAGAGGGUACAUCCUGGGAGUAUAGCUUAGGUGGGAUAGCCAGAGGGUACAUCCUGGGAGUACCAGCUUAGGUGGGAUAGCCAGAGGGUACAUCCUGGGAGUAUAGCUUAGGUGGGAUAGCCAGAGGGUACAUCCUGGGAGUAUAGCUUAGGUGGGAUAGCCAGAGGGUACAUCCUGGGAGUACCAGCUUAGGUGGGAUAGCCAGAGGGUACAUCCUGGGAGUAUAGCUUAGGUGGGAUAGCCAGAGGGUACAUCCUGGGAGUACCAGCUUAGGUGGGAUAGCCAGAGGGUACAUCCUGGGAGUAUAGCUUAGGUGGGAUAGCCAGAGGGUACAUCCUGGGAGUAUAGCUUAGGUGGGAUAGCCAGAGGGUACAUCCUGGGAGUAUAGCUUAGGUGGGAUAGCCAGAGGGUACAUCCUGGGAGUAUAGCUUAGGUGGGAUAGCCAGAGGGUACAUCCUGGGAGUAUAGCUUAGGUGGGAUAGCCAGAGGGUACAUCCUG